AUAACAGGGGACAAGCAUGAAGCAACCAACAAUACCAUCUCAGACGGUACACUAAUUAAUGUAAAGGAGGUUACAUGAAAGCUACGAACCACUAACUACUGAAGUCCAAUAUAGAUAGAUGAAAGGUACAAAAUCUCCAGUAAACGCAUUAGCAAAUGCAGGUAAAAUCUGAAGCAUAAAGUAAGAUGUAGUUACAGCCGUUCAUGAGAUUCUCUGCAAUUGUACAAUUUGCUAGACCAUAGAGCUGAAUACGGAAACAUUGUUUUCUCUUUGUGGCGCAUAGCAUAGCGAAUACCAAAAGAAGAGGACCUUACUUCAACGAGGGUCAUCGUGCAACCUUGCCUGCCACCCGGCAAAGAUAAAAUGCUCAAAUGCAUCUGUGCCAAGGAAUGAUAGUGCAACUACUCUGUAUUUAUGGUCAUUUUGCACAGUGCAUAUGUAUUCAUCUGGCCCGUCUCCUUUCCCUAGAUUUGUCUCUAUCAUGAUCAUCUCUCUCCCUGCUUCCACUCUUCCUUCCCCUAUCACGACGCUUUUCUCUAUCAUGAUCAUCUCUCUCCCUGCUUCCACUCUUCCUUCCCCUAUCACGACGCUUUUCUCUAUCACUAUCGCGGUCUCUGCUGGAUGAUUUCCACUGAGGGCUUCCACUUCUGCUCCUACUGCGCUGCCGCUUCCUUGAAGCUUCACGAGCAUCGUCUCUUUUCUCUUUCCUCUCCGAAGAUGACCUGCCUCCUUUUUUUGAUGUAUCUUCGCUGAAAUUCAAUAAACCAUAUUCAGAUUGUAGGCAUUGCCGAUGGAUUUCAACUUUCCUCUCAAUUUCAUCCGGAUUUUUUAUUCCUUGUUCUUCAAGAGAUUCACGAUAUUCAAUCAAUGCAACCUCAAGACGCCUCAGCUUUUGCCUCAACUCUUCGUUCAUUCCACUUUCCGGGUAUGCUGAAUUGCCUGUGUCCGUUGUAAGCUCUGCAUCCUUGAUCUUGCUAAGCCCAUCACCAGCAUUCUCACUUCCAGAAGAUGAAUAUGUCAACCCCAG
RNAcentral lists this unclassified non-coding RNA (1027 nucleotides) under Hevea brasiliensis (rubber tree). The record is from RNAcentral. Lineage: Eukaryota; Viridiplantae; Streptophyta; Magnoliopsida; Malpighiales; Euphorbiaceae.